UUGCCAGACUCCUACGGGAGGCAGCAGUGGGGGAUAUUGCACAAUGGGGGAAACCCUGAUGCAGCGACGCCGCGUGAGUGAAGAAGUAAUUCGUUACGUAAAGCCCUAUCGGCAGGGAAGAAGCAAGACGGUACCUGACUAAGAAGCCCCGGCUAACUACGUGCCAGCAGCCGCGGUAAUACGUAGGGGGCGAGCGUUAUCCGGAUUCACUGGGUGUAAAGGGAGCGUAGACGGCCAAGCAAGCCAGGGGUGAAAGCCCGGGGCCCAACCCCGGGACUGCUCUUGGAACUGCGUGGCUGGAGUGCAGGAGGGGCAGGCGGAAUUCCUGGUGUAGCGGUGAAAUGCGUAGAUAUCAGGAGGAACACCGGUGGCGAAGGCGGCCUGCUGGACUGCAACUGACGUUGAGGCCCGAAAGCGUGGGGAGCAAACAGGAUUAGAUACCCUGGUAA
RNAcentral lists this ribosomal RNA (449 nucleotides) under uncultured bacterium. RNAcentral describes it as "partial 16S ribosomal RNA". It matches the Rfam family "Bacterial small subunit ribosomal RNA", at positions 328 to 793 of the family's 1533-position model. The record is from RNAcentral.